This 756-nucleotide long non-coding RNA is filed under the name Equus caballus (horse). Its description in RNAcentral is "lncRNA (ENSECAG00000054393.1)". The record is from RNAcentral. Lineage: Eukaryota; Metazoa; Chordata; Mammalia; Perissodactyla; Equidae.
AUUAUAAAAGUUCCAGCUUUAGUCUACCUAAAACGUACCCUGCAAUUCUCUCUGAUGAGUGAAACCGAUUCUAUUCUGCCAAGACUAUCAGUAAUAAAUCGUGGUAGAAGGUGGAUGUCCUACUGAGAGAAGAAAAAACGAAAUAAAACAAAACAGGAUCCACACCAGGUCACCACACUGCAUUCAGUCAUCAUGUCGUCAUGUCUCCCUCAUCUCCUCCAGUCUGUGAAGACGCUGGAGCUGAAUGCUCUGCUGGGAGGAAGCACUCAUUCUCUGGCAAUGCUGACGGGAGUGGAAAACAAGCAGGAAAGCACAGCCGCCGCCUUCAUCUUGCCUUCCCAUCGCUCACUGGCAGAUUACCCCUGAGCUAACUACUGCCAGUCCUUCUCUUCUUUGCUGAGGAAGCCUGGCCCUGAGCUAACAUCGUGCCCAUCUUCCUCUACUUUAUAUGUGGGACGCCUACCACAGCAUGGCGUGCCAAGGGAUGCCAUGUCCGCACCCGGGAUCCGAACCUUCAAACCCCAGACCGCUGAGAAGUGGAACGUGCGAACUUAACUGCUGCGCCACCGGGCCAGCCCCCCACACUACAAAUUAUGAAGAAAUAAAACAGACAUAGACCUUAAGAGGCUUUCUGGUUAACAAAGACUUCAUACAUAAUUUAAAAUGAUAGGGAUGAAUUACAUGGCUCUCCACGACAAGUUAGUAUAUGUAGCAUCAAGAUUAAUGUUGCAAAGGGGAUAACUUUAAGAAUUUAUU